RNAcentral lists this ribosomal RNA (624 nucleotides) under Triticum aestivum (bread wheat). RNAcentral's name for it is "partial small subunit ribosomal RNA". Lineage: Eukaryota; Viridiplantae; Streptophyta; Magnoliopsida; Poales; Poaceae. The record is from RNAcentral.
AUGGACCGUUGGGGGAGAAUCUCCAACCCUUCACCGCUAAGGAGCAUCUUCCUUUACAACCAACCUUCCCUGCAGCUCAUAUUCCCUUUGAGCUUGAGCUACAAGCAGCUCGGCGCUCGUAUACAGUUGCAGUCUGGGUUGGCUCUGCCUAUAUACCACCCACCUCCGCGCAAGUGUUCAAGAGACAUCUCACUCACAGAUAAACGCAUCCCGUUGUAUGUCUCCACAGUAGCAAUGGAGAUGGAAAGGUCACUAUGGCUCGCGGUGCUGAUCCCUGCGAUCAUGGUGUCCUUCUACGGCGAGGCUGCCAUGGCGGACGCCCAGACAUCGCCGGACACAAACGUGCUGUGCGUCAGCAAGUGCGGGACGUGCCCGACGGUAUGUACCACGCCGCCGCCGCCGCCGGCGGCGGGCGGCGAUGGCAGCGGCUACUCCUCGCCGUCGCCUCCGCGCUCUAUGACGACUCAGCCAUCUCCAGCGGCCGUGCCGCAGCCGCAGGCCAAGGGAGGGAGCCCCAGCGGGUACUACUACUUCUUCACCGCUGGGAGCGGCCGGAGCUGCGCCACCUCCAGCGUUCGUUACACGCUACUGCUCCUGGCGCUUCUUCCCAUCGUCGCUGUUUAG